GACGAACGCUGGCGGCGUGCUUAACACAUGCAAGUCGAACGGAAAGGCCCUGCUUUUGUGGGGUGCUCGAGUGGCGAACGGGUGAGUAACACGUGAGUAACCUGCCCUUGACUUUGGGAUAACUUCAGGAAACUGGGGCUAAUACCGGAUAGGAGCUCCUGCUGCAUGGUGGGGGUUGGAAAGUUUCGGCGGUUGGGGAUGGACUCGCGGCUUAUCAGCUUGUUGGUGGGGUAGUGGCUUACCAAGGCUUUGACGGGUAGCCGGCCUGAGAGGGUGACCGGCCACAUUGGGACUGAGAUACGGCCCAGACUCCAACGGGAGGCAGCAGUGGGGAAUAUUGCACAAUGGGCGGAAGCCUGAUGCAGCAACGCCGCGUGCGGGAUGACGGCCUUCGGGUUGUAAACCGCUUUCGACUGUGACGAAGAGUGAGUGACGGUAAUGGGUAAAGAAGCACCGGCUAACUACGUG
RNAcentral lists this ribosomal RNA (468 nucleotides) under uncultured bacterium. RNAcentral's name for it is "partial 16S ribosomal RNA". It matches the Rfam family "Bacterial small subunit ribosomal RNA", at positions 28 to 507 of the family's 1533-position model. The record is from RNAcentral.